CGGAGGGAGAAGGAGCCUGCCUUUCUCUCCCGAUCUCUCCCGGGAAAGUUCAGGAGCCUGGCCUCAAACCCAAGCAAGAGGAUUUGCUCCACUCCCUCUCCUGCUCAGCAUUCAUCAUUUCAUCUCAUCCUCCUGCUCUCCUGCUAAGAUCCCUUGGAAAAUCUGCCCCAUAGUUCUCUGUGUUGAACCAAUAGCCCAGAAGUGUACUGCAAUGGC
Molecule: long non-coding RNA, 216 nt
Organism: Corvus hawaiiensis (hawaiian crow)
Lineage: Eukaryota; Metazoa; Chordata; Aves; Passeriformes; Corvidae
Exons: 3
Source: RefSeq, a predicted model, not a curated record